This is a long non-coding RNA of Phasianus colchicus (ring-necked pheasant), 1776 nucleotides long. NCBI's taxonomy places the organism in Eukaryota, Metazoa, Chordata, Aves, Galliformes, Phasianidae. The record is from Ensembl.
CGGAAGUGCCGCAGCAGCGGAGCGGCGCAGCGGUGGGGGAGGGGGUUAAAAUGGAGACUGCGAGCCAGAGGGGCUUGGGGGGGGGGACGGCCAUACUGGUGCCAUACUGGUCCAUACUGGUGCCAUACUGGUGCCAUACUGGUGUCAUACUGGUGCCAUACUGGUCCCUAUUGGUCCCCACUGGUCCAUACUGGUCCAUACUGGUGCCCACUGGUCCUUACUGGUCCAUAGUGGUCCAUACUGGUGCCAUACUGGUCCGUACUGGUCCAUGCUGGUCCAUACUGGUGCCAUACUGGUCCAUACUGGUGCCAUACUGGUGCCAUACUGGUGUCAUACUGGUGCCAUACUGGUCCCUAUUGGUCCCCACUGGUCCAUACUGGUGCCAUACUGGUGCCCACUGGUCCUUACUGGUCCAUAGUGGUCCAUUCUGUUGCCAUAGUGGUCCCUACUGGUCCAUACUGGUCCAUACUGGUGCCAUACUGGUCCCUAUUCAUCCAUACUGGUCCCUACUGGUGCCAUACUGGUCCGUACUGGUCCAUGCUGGUCCAUACUGGUGCCAUACUGGUCCCAAUUCGUCCAUACUGGUCCCUUACUGGUGCCAUACUGGUGUCAUACUGGUGUCAUAGUGGUCCAUACUGGUCCCUACUGGUGCCAUACUGGUGCCCACUGGUCCCAUUCUGGUGCCAUACUGGUGCCAUACUGGUGUCAUACUGGUCCAUAGUGGUCCAUACUGGUGCCAUUCUGGUGCCAUACUGGUGUCAUACUGGUCCAUUCUGUUGCCAUACUGGUCCAUACUGGUCCAUACUGGUCCAUGCUGGUGCCAUACUGGUCCCUAUUCAUCCAUACUGGUCCCUACUGGUGCCAUACUGGUGUCAUACUGGUGUCAUACUGGUCCAUUCUGUUGCCAUACUGGUCCCCACUGGUCCAUACUGGUCCAUGCUGGUGCCAUACUGGUGCCAUACUGGUGACAUAUUGGUCCCUAUUGGUCCCCACUGGUCCAUACUGGUCCAUACUGGUGCCAUACUGGUGCCCACUGGUCCCAUUCUGGUGCCAUACUGGUGUCAUACUGGUCCUUACUGGUCCAUGCUGGUCCAUACUGGUGCCAUACUGGUGCCCACUGGUCCCAUUCUGGUGCCAUACUGGUGCCAUACUGGUCCUUACUGGUCCAUAGUGGUCCAUACUGGUGCCAUACUGGUCCCUACUGGUCCAUGCUGGUCCAUACUGGUCCAUACUGGUGCCAUACUGGUGCCAUAUUGGUCCCUAUUGGUCCCCACUGGUCCAUACUGGUCCAUACUGGUGCCAUACUGGUGCCAUACUGGUGCCCACUGGUCCCAUUCUGGUGCCAUACUGGUGUCAUACUGGUCCCGACUGGUCCAUGCUGGUCCAUACUGGUCCCUACUGGUCCGUAGUGGUCCAUACUGGUGCCAUACUGGUCUCUACUGGUCCAUACUGGUCCCUACUGGUGCCAUACUGGUCCCUAUUCAUCCAUACUGGUCCAUACUGGUGCCAUAGUGGUUCCCACUGGUCCACACUGGUCUAUACUGGUGCAAUACUGAUCUCUACUGGUUCCACACUGGUCCAUACUGGUCUAUAAUGAUUCAUACUGGUCUAUACUGGUCCAUACUGGUUCCAUACUGGUUCCUUACUGGUCCACACUGCUUCCAUUUCGGUCCAUACUGGUUCCAUACUGGUGCCAUACUGGUUCCAUACUGGUCCAUACUGGGCCCUCCCCGAAGCCCUCGGUCAGAAGGCGGCGUCACUCCGUCUCCGAGCAAC